RNAcentral lists this ribosomal RNA (296 nucleotides) under Acinetobacter baumannii. RNAcentral describes it as "partial 16S ribosomal RNA". It matches the Rfam family "Bacterial small subunit ribosomal RNA", at positions 1 to 300 of the family's 1533-position model. The record is from RNAcentral. Lineage: Bacteria; Pseudomonadati; Pseudomonadota; Gammaproteobacteria; Moraxellales; Moraxellaceae.
AACUGAAGAGUUUGAUCAUGGCUCAGAUUGAACGCUGGCGGCAGGCUUAACACAUGCAAGUCGAGCGGGGGAAGGUAGCUUGCUACUGGACCUAGCGGCGGACGGGUGAGUAAUGCUUAGGAAUCUGCCUAUUAGUGGGGGACAACAUCUCGAAAGGGAUGCUAAUACCGCAUACGUCCUACGGGAGAAAGCAGGGGAUCUUCGGACCUUGCGCUAAUAGAUGAGCCUAAGUCGGAUUAGCUAGUUGGUGGGGUAAAGGCCUACCAAGGCGACGCUCUGUAGCGGGUCUGAGAGGA